CCUAACAUGAGCAAAGUCGAAGGCCCGGUUACAUUUAGACCGGAUGGGGGGAGAGGCCCUGCAAUGCCCAUAUGUGCCCCCACAGCCAUAUUAGGAACAGGAGGAGAACCUCGUCCUAACAUGAGCAAAGUCGAAGACCCGGUUACAUUUAGACCGGAUGGGGGGAGAGGCCCUGCAACGUCCAUAUGUGCCCCCACAGCCAUGUUAGGAACAGGUGGAGAACCUCAUCCUAACAUGAGCAAAGUCAAAGGUCCGGUUACAUUUAGAUCGGAUGGGGCGAGAGGCCCUGCAACGUCCAUAUAUGCCCCCACAGCCAUGUUAGGAAUAGAAGGAGAACCUCGUCCUAACAUGAGCAAAGUCGAAGGCCCGGUUACACUUAGACCGGAUGGAGGGAGAGGCCCUGCAACGCCCAUAUGUGCCCCCACAGCCAUAUUAGGAACAGGAGGAGAACCUCAUCCGAACAUGAGCAAAGUCGAGGGCCCGGUUACAUUUAGACCGGAUGGAGGGAGAGGCCCUACAACGCCCAUCUGUGCCCCCACAGCCAUGUUAAGGAUAGGAGGAGAACCUCGCCCUAACUUGAGCAAAGU
RNAcentral lists this long non-coding RNA (587 nucleotides) under Elaeis guineensis (African oil palm). RNAcentral describes it as "long non-coding RNA (EGUI_LNC077978)". The record is from RNAcentral. Lineage: Eukaryota; Viridiplantae; Streptophyta; Magnoliopsida; Arecales; Arecaceae.